Molecule: ribosomal RNA, 473 nt
Filed under: uncultured bacterium
Lineage: Bacteria
Description: SSU rRNA
Rfam family: Bacterial small subunit ribosomal RNA
Source: RNAcentral
AGGACGAACGCUGGCGGCGUGCUUAACACAUGCAAGUCGAGCGGAAAGGCCCUUCGGGGUACUCGAGCGGCGAACGGGUGAGUAACACGUGAGUAAUCUGCCCCUAGCUCUGGGAUAGCUCCGGGAAACCGGGAUUAAUACCAGAUACGACCACUUUAGACAUCUGUUGUGGUGGAAAGAAUUUUGGCUAGGGAUGAGCUCGCGGCCUAUCAGCUUGUUGGUGAGGUAACGGCUCACCAAGGCGACGACGGGUAGCCGGCCUGAGAGGGCGACCGGCCACACUGGGACUGAGACACGGCCCAGACUCCUACGGGAGGCAGCAGUGGGGAAUAUUGCGCAAUGGGCGAAAGCCUGACGCAGCGACGCCGCGUGGGGGAUGAAGGCCUUCGGGUUGUAAACCCCUUCAGCAGGGACGAAGCGAAAGUGACGGUACCUGCAGAAGAAGCGCCGGCUAACUACGCGCCAGCAGCCGC